CCUACGGGAGGCAGCAGUAAGGAAUAUUGGUCAAUGGGCGCAAGCCUGAACCAGCCAUGCCGCGUGCAGGAAGACGGCCCUAUGGGUUGUAAACUGCUUUUGAACAAGAGAAAACCUCGGUACGUGUACCGAGCUGAUAGUAUUGUUAGAAUAAGCAUCGGCUAACUUCGUGCCAGCAGCCGCGGUAAGACGAAGGAUGCAAGCGUUAUCCGGAUUCAUUGGGUUUAAAGGGUGCGUAGGCGGCCUGAUAAGUCAGUGGUGAAAUCUCUCAGCUUAACUGAGAAACUGCCAUUGAUACUGUCGGGCUUGAGUACAGAUGAUGUGGGCGGAAUAUGACAUGUAGUGGUGAAAUACUUAGAUAUGUCAUAGAACACCGAUUGCGAAGGCAGCUCACAAAACUGUAACUGACGCUGAGGCACGAAAGUGCGGGGAUCAAACAGGAUUAGAUACCCUGGUAGUCCGCACCGUAAACGAUGAUUACUCGUUGUUGGCAAUAUGACCGUCAGCGACCAAGCGAAAGCGAUAAGUAAUCCACCUGGGGAGUACGCCGGCGAACGGUGAAACGUUAAAGGAAUUGACGG
RNAcentral lists this ribosomal RNA (581 nucleotides) under uncultured bacterium. RNAcentral's name for it is "bacterial SSU rRNA". It matches the Rfam family "Bacterial small subunit ribosomal RNA", at positions 338 to 916 of the family's 1533-position model. The record is from RNAcentral.